RNAcentral lists this ribosomal RNA (561 nucleotides) under Colletotrichum gloeosporioides. Its description in RNAcentral is "eukaryotic LSU rRNA". The stretch from base 201 to 354 matches the Rfam family "5.8S ribosomal RNA". The record is from RNAcentral. Lineage: Eukaryota; Fungi; Ascomycota; Sordariomycetes; Glomerellales; Glomerellaceae.
CGUAGGUGAACCUGCGGAGGGAUCAUUACUGAGUUUACGCUCUACAACGCUUUGUGAACAUACCUACAACUGUUGCUUCGGCGGGUAGGGUCUCCGCGACCCUCCCGGCCUCCCGCCUCCGGGCGGGUCGGCGCCCGCCGGAGGAUAACCAAACUCUGAUUUAACGACGUUUCUUCUGAGUGGUACAAGCAAAUAAUCAAAACUUUUAACAACGGAUCUCUUGGUUCUGGCAUCGAUGAAGAACGCAGCGAAAUGCGAUAAGUAAUGUGAAUUGCAGAAUUCAGUGAAUCAUCGAAUCUUUGAACGCACAUUGCGCCCGCCAGCAUUCUGGCGGGCAUGCCUGUUCGAGCGUCAUUUCAACCCUCAAGCUCUGCUUGGUGUUGGGGCCCUACAGCCGAUGUAGGCCCUCAAAGGUAGUGGCGGACCCUCCCGGAGCCUCCUUUGCGUAGUAACUUUACGUCUCGCACUGGGAUCCGGAGGGACUCUUGCCGUAAAACCCCCCAAUUUUCCAAAGGUUGACCUCGGAUCAGGUAGGAAUACCCGCUGAACUUAAGCAUAUCA